UACGUAGGGGGCUAGCGUUGUCCGGAAUCAUUGGGCGUAAAGAGCGUGUAGGCGGUCCGGUAAGUCCGCUGUGAAAGUCGGGGGCUCAACCCUCGAAUGCCGGUGGAUACUGUCGGGCUAGAGUGCGGAAGAGGCGAGUGGAAUUCCUGGUGUAGCGGUGAAAUGCGCAGAUAUCAGGAGGAACACCGGUGGCGAAGGCGGCAUCCUGGACCGGCAUUGACGCUGAGGCGCGAAAGCGUGGGGAGCGAACAGG
This 253-nucleotide ribosomal RNA is filed under the name uncultured bacterium. RNAcentral describes it as "partial 16S ribosomal RNA". It matches the Rfam family "Bacterial small subunit ribosomal RNA", at positions 524 to 776 of the family's 1533-position model. The record is from RNAcentral.